Small nuclear RNA from Epinephelus fuscoguttatus (brown-marbled grouper), 110 nucleotides. NCBI's taxonomy places the organism in Eukaryota, Metazoa, Chordata, Actinopteri, Perciformes, Serranidae. The record is from RefSeq and is a predicted model, not a curated record.
GUGUCAUUGUUCAGGCAGCACAUAUAAUAAAUUGGAAUUGAUACAGGGAAGAUUAGCAUGGCCUCUGCGAAAGCAUGACAUGCAAAUUCGUGGAACGUUUUCACAUUUUU